This 789-nucleotide ribosomal RNA is filed under the name uncultured bacterium. RNAcentral describes it as "bacterial SSU rRNA". It matches the Rfam family "Bacterial small subunit ribosomal RNA", at positions 8 to 796 of the family's 1533-position model. The record is from RNAcentral.
AGAGUUUGAUCCUGGCUCAGAUUGAACGCUGGCGGCAUGCUUUACACAUGCAAGUCGAGCGGGGUGGAGGGGCAACUCUUCAUUCAGCGGCGGACGGGUGAGUAACACAUCGGAACGUAUCCUGGAGUGGGGGACAACCCAGCGAAAGCUGGGCUAAUACCGCAUACGCUCGGGAGAGGAAAGCGGGGGCUCGCAAGACCUCGCGCUGCAGGGGCGGCCGAUGUCCGAUUAGCUGGUUGGUGGGGUAAAGGCUCACCAAGGCGACGAUCGGUAGCUGGUCUGAGAGGAUGAUCAGCCACACUGGGACUGAGACACGGCCCAGACUCCUACGGGAGGCAGCAGUGGGGAAUUUUGGACAAUGGGGGCAACCCUGAUCCAGCCAUGCCGCGUGCGGGAAGAAGGCCUUCGGGUUGUAAACCGCUUUUGGUCGGGAAGAAAGGGCCCACCCUAAUACGGUGGGCUAUUGACGGUACCGGCAGAAUAAGCACCGGCUAACUACGUGCCAGCAGCCGCGGUAAUACGUAGGGUGCGAGCGUUAAUCGGAAUUACUGGGCGUAAAGCGUGCGCAGGCGGUUCGUUGUGUCUGAUGUGAAAGCCCCGGGCUCAACCUGGGAAUGGCAUUGGAAACUGGCGAGCUAGAGUGUGGCAGAGGGGGGUGGAAUUCCGCGCAGCAGUGAAAUGCGUAGAGAUGCGGAGGAACACCGAUGGCGAAGGCAGCCCCCUGGGCUGACACUGACGCUCAGGCACGAAAGCGUGGGGAGCAAACAGGAUUAGAUACCCCCGUAGUCC